GCAGGUCAGAAGCUGUCCAGCUCCCCAAGCGCCGUCGCUUCCCAAGCCGAGAGCGCGAGUUCGAUUCUCGUCACCCGCUCCA
This 82-nucleotide transfer RNA is filed under the name Streptomyces echinatus. RNAcentral describes it as "tRNA-Gly". Lineage: Bacteria; Bacillati; Actinomycetota; Actinomycetes; Kitasatosporales; Streptomycetaceae. The record is from RNAcentral.